This 477-nucleotide ribosomal RNA is filed under the name uncultured bacterium. Its description in RNAcentral is "partial 16S ribosomal RNA". It matches the Rfam family "Bacterial small subunit ribosomal RNA", at positions 29 to 523 of the family's 1533-position model. The record is from RNAcentral.
AACAAACGCUGGCGGCGUGCCUAAUACAUGCAAGUCGAACGGGGAAAGCCUUCGGGCAAGUACUAGUGGCGCACGGGUGAGUAACACGUGGGUAAUUUGCCCUCAGAUGGGGAAUAACCAGUCGAAAGAUUGGCUAGUACCGCAUAAGACCACAGGAUCUGCGGAUCUAGGGGUUAAAGGAGUAAUUCGUCUGAAGAUAAGCCCGCGCGGGAUUAGCGAGUUGGUGAGGUAACGGCUCACCAAGGCUAUGAUCUCUAACUGGUCUGAGAGGAUGAGAAGUCACACUGGAACUGAGACACGGUCCAGACUCCUACGGGAGGCAGCAGUAGGGAAUAUUGCACAAUGGGGGAAACCGUGAUGCAGCGACGCCGCGUGAGUGAUGAAGGACUUCGGUUCGUAAAGCUCUGUCGCAGGGGAAAAUUAUGAUGGUACCCUGUAAGAAAGGAUCGGCUAACUUCGUGCCAGCCGCCGCGGUAA